This 460-nucleotide ribosomal RNA is filed under the name uncultured bacterium. RNAcentral describes it as "partial 16S ribosomal RNA". It matches the Rfam family "Bacterial small subunit ribosomal RNA", at positions 338 to 795 of the family's 1533-position model. The record is from RNAcentral.
CCUACGGGAGGCAGCAGUGAGGAAUAUUGGUCAAUGGACGAGAGCCUGAACCAGCCAAGUCGCGUGAAGGAUGACUGCCCUAUGGGUUGUAAACUUCUUUUAUAUGGGAAUAAAAUGUUCCACGUGUGGGGUUUUGUAUGUACCUUAUGAAUAAGGAUCGGCUAACUCCGUGCCAGCAGCCGCGGUAAUACGGAGGAUCCGAGCGUUAUCCGGAUUUAUUGGGUUUAAAGGGUGCGUAGGUGGAUUGUUAAGUCAGGGGUGAAAGUUUGGGGCUCAACCGUAGAAUUGCAGUUGAAACUGGGAGUCUGGAGUACAGUAGAGGUGGGCGGAAUGCGUGGUGUAGCGGUGAAAUGCUUAGAUAUCACGAAGAACUCCGAUUGCGAAGGCAGUUCACUGGACUGCAACUGACACUGAGGCACGAAAGUGUGGGUAUCAAACAGGAUUAGAUACCCGGGUAGUC